This 497-nucleotide ribosomal RNA is filed under the name uncultured bacterium. RNAcentral's name for it is "partial 16S ribosomal RNA". It matches the Rfam family "Bacterial small subunit ribosomal RNA", at positions 28 to 507 of the family's 1533-position model. The record is from RNAcentral.
GAUGAACGCUGGCGGCGUGCCUAAUACAUGCAAGUCGAGCGAACGGACGAGACGCUUGCUUGUCUGAUGUUAGCGGCGGGCGGGUGAGUAACACGUGGAUAACCUACCUAUAAGACUGGGAUAACUUCGGGAAACCGGAGCUAAUACCGGAUAAUAUUUUGAACCGCAGGGUUCAAAAGUGAAAGACGGUCUUGCUGUCACUUAUAGAUGGAUCCGAGCUGCAUUAGCUAGUUGGUAAGGUAACGGCUUACCAAGGCAACGAUGCAUAGCCGACCUGAGAGGGUGAUCGGCCACACUGGAACUGAGACACGGUCCAGACUCCUACGGGAGGCAGCAGUAGGGAAUCUUCCGCAAUGGGCGAAAGCCUGACGCAGCAACGCCGCGUGAGUGAUGAAGGUCUUCGGAUCGUAAAACUCUGUUAUUAGGGAAGAACAGAUGUGUAAGUAACUGUGCCCAUCUUGACGGUACCUAAUCAGAAAGCCCCGGCUAACUACGUG